AGGAAUAUUGGUCAAUGGACGCGAGUCUGAACCAGCCAAGUAGCGUGAAGGAUGACUGCCCUAUGGGUUGUAAACUUCUUUUAUACGGGAAUAAAGUGGAGUAUGCGUACUCCUUUGUAUGUACCGUAUGAAUAAGGAUCGGCUAACUCCGUGCCAGCAGCCGCGGUAAUACGGAGGAUGCGAGCGUUAUCCGGAUUUAUUGGGUUUAAAGGGAGCGUAGACGGGUCGUUAAGUCAGCUGUGAAAGUUUGAGGCUCAACCUUAAAAUUGCAGUUGAUACUGGCGUCCUUGAGUACGGUUGAGGCAGGCGGAAUUCGUGGUGUAGCGGUGAAAUGCUUAGAUAUCACGAAGAACCCCGAUUGCGAAGGCAGCCUGCUAAACCGCCACUGACGUUGAGGCUCGAAAGUGUGGGUAUCAAACAGGAUUAGAUACCCUGGUAGUCCACACGGUAAACGAUGGAUACUCGCUGUUGGCGAUAGACUGUCAGCGGCUUAGCGAAAGCGUUAAGUAUCCCACCUGGGGAGUACGCCGGCAACGGUGAAACUCAAAGGAAUUGACGGGGGCCCGCACAAGCGGAGGAACAUGUGGUUUAAUUCGAUGAUACGCGAGGAACCUUACCCGGGCUUGAAUUGCAGACGAAUUGCUUGGAAACAGGCAAGCCGCAAGGCGUCUGUGAAGGUGCUGCAUGGUUGUCGUCAGCUCGUGCCGUGAGGUGUCGGCUUAAGUGCCAUAACGAGCGCAACCCUCGUGUCCAGUUACUAGCAGGUUAUGCUGAGGACUCUGGACAGACUGCCAUCGUAAGAUGUGAGGAAGGUGGGGAUGACGUCAAAUCAGCACGGCCCUUACGUCCGGGGCUACACACGUGUUACAAUGGGGGGUACAGCAGGCAGCUACCGGGCGACCGGAUGCCAAUCCCGAAAGCCUCUCUCAGUUCGGACUGGAGUCUGCAACCCGACUCCACGAAGCUGGAUUCGCUAGUAAUCGCGCAUCAGCCACGGCGCGGUGAAUACGUUCCCG
This 1016-nucleotide ribosomal RNA is filed under the name uncultured bacterium. Its description in RNAcentral is "bacterial SSU rRNA". It matches the Rfam family "Bacterial small subunit ribosomal RNA", at positions 357 to 1376 of the family's 1533-position model. The record is from RNAcentral.